AUUUUACUAGUAUAAAUAGUAUGUUUGUUUUCCAAACAAGAGGUUUAAUCUAAUUAAGUAAAGUA
RNAcentral lists this transfer RNA (65 nucleotides) under Histioteuthis bonnellii (umbrella squid). Its description in RNAcentral is "tRNA-Gly". Lineage: Eukaryota; Metazoa; Mollusca; Cephalopoda; Oegopsida; Histioteuthidae. The record is from RNAcentral.